GACAGAGCGUUGCUCACCGAGCGGCAUCCAACCCCUUCUCCGCAGGUCAGGAAAAAGCGAGACCAGAUCCUGGAGAGCUUUGUCCGCACCGUGUGCGAAUGCUGCGACCCCUGCACCGUUCUGGAAGCCAUGGAAGGGCUCUGCUGGAUGCUGCGGGACCCCAAGGCGCCUCUGAAGGCUCACGUCGCCGUCCCACUGGCCCUGCAGGCGAGAAUGUUCUUUGAGGAUGAGAACAGCGGCCUGAGGUGGGCCUCCAUGGAGCUCUUUGGCCACCUCAGCAAAUUUGUUUCCAAGAAGUCAUCCCUCUUUGGGGAUGAGGUGGAGAAGAGCAUGGGGACGCUGCUCAUCCACCUACAGGACAGGGACCCCCACGUGGUCCAGGCGUGCAGGGUGGCAUUGCUGCAGUGCGCACCCUUCCUCAGCUACCAGCCCCUGCGCACGUUCGUGUAGAGCCAGCUAGCCGAGGGG
RNAcentral lists this long non-coding RNA (468 nucleotides) under Chrysemys picta bellii (western painted turtle). Its description in RNAcentral is "lncRNA (ENSCPBG00000006241.1)". Lineage: Eukaryota; Metazoa; Chordata; Testudines; Emydidae. The record is from RNAcentral.